AUACGGAGGGUGCAAGCGUUAUUCGGAAUCACUGGGCGUAAAGGACGCGUAGGCGGGUUGGCAAGUCAGAUGUGAAAUCCUACAGCUUAACUGUAGAACUGCAUUUGAAACUGCUAACCUAGAGUAUGGGAGGGGGAGAUGGAAUUAGUGGUGUAGGGGUAAAGUCCGUAGAUAUCACUAGGAAUACCGAAAGCGAAGGCGAUCUCCUGGAACAUAACUGACGCUAAGGCGUGAAAGCGUGGGGAGCAAACAGAAUUAGAAACCCUAGUAGUCC
RNAcentral lists this ribosomal RNA (274 nucleotides) under uncultured bacterium. Its description in RNAcentral is "partial 16S ribosomal RNA". It matches the Rfam family "Bacterial small subunit ribosomal RNA", at positions 523 to 796 of the family's 1533-position model. The record is from RNAcentral.